Molecule: ribosomal RNA, 1464 nt
Filed under: uncultured organism
Description: 16S ribosomal RNA
Rfam family: Bacterial small subunit ribosomal RNA
Source: RNAcentral
GGCGGCGUGCCUAAUACAUGCAAGUCGAGCGAACGGACGAGAAGCUUGCUUCUCUGAUGUUAGCGGCGGACGGGUGAGUAACACGUGGAUAACCUACCUAUAAGACUGGGAUAACUUCGGGAAACCGGAGCUAAUACCGGAUAAUAUUUUGAACCGCAUGGUUCAAAAGUGAAAGACGGUCUUGCUGUCACUUAUAGAUGGAUCCGCGCUGCAUUAGCUAGUUGGUAAGGUAACGGCUUACCAAGGCAACGAUGCAUAGCCGACCUGAGAGGGUGAUCGGCCACACUGGAACUGAGACACGGUCCAGACUCCUACGGGAGGCAGCAGUAGGGAAUCUUCCGCAAUGGGCGAAAGCCUGACGGAGCAACGCCGCGUGAGUGAUGAAGGUCUUCGGAUCGUAAAACUCUGUUAUUAGGGAAGAACAUAUGUGUAAGUAACUGUGCACAUCUUGACGGUACCUAAUCAGAAAGCCACGGCUAACUACGUGCCAGCAGCCGCGGUAAUACGUAGGUGGCAAGCGUUAUCCGGAAUUAUUGGGCGUAAAGCGCGCGUAGGCGGUUUUUUAAGUCUGAUGUGAAAGCCCACGGCUCAACCGUGGAGGGUCAUUGGAAACUGGAAAACUUGAGUGCAGAAGAGGAAAGUGGAAUUCCAUGUGUAGCGGUGAAAUGCGCAGAGAUAUGGAGGAACACCAGUGGCGAAGGCGACUUUCUGGUCUGUAACUGACGCUGAUGUGCGAAAGCGUGGGGAUCAAACAGGAUUAGAUACCCUGGUAGUCCACGCCAUAAACGAUGAGUGCUAAGUGUUAGGGGGUUUCCGCCCCUUAGUGCUGCAGCUAACGCAUUAAGCACUCCGCCUGGGGAGUACGACCGCAAGGUUGAAACUCAAAGGAAUUGACGGGGACCCGCACAAGCGGUGGAGCAUGUGGUUUAAUUCGAAGCAACGCGAAGAACCUUACCAAAUCUUGACAUCCUUUGACAACUCUAGAGAUAGAGCCUUCCCCUUCGGGGGACAAAGUGACAGGUGGUGCAUGGUUGUCGUCAGCUCGUGUCGUGAGAUGUUGGGUUAAGUCCCGCAACGAGCGCAACCCUUAAGCUUAGUUGCCAUCAUUAAGUUGGGCACUCUAAGUUGACUGCCGGUGACAAACCGGAGGAAGGUGGGGAUGACGUCAAAUCAUCAUGCCCCUUAUGAUUUGGGCUACACACGUGCUACAAUGGACAAUACAAAGGGCAGCGAAACCGCGAGGUCAAGCAAAUCCCAUAAAGUUGUUCUCAGUUCGGAUUGUAGUCUGCAACUCGACUACAUGAAGCUGGAAUCGCUAGUAAUCGUAGAUCAGCACGCUACGAUGAAUACGUUCCCGGGUCUUGUACACACCGCCCGUCACACCACGAGAAUUUGUAACACCCGAAGCCGGUGGAGUAACCUUUUAGGAGCUAGCCGUCGAAGGUGGGACAAAUGAUUGGGGUG